GCCUGGGUGGCUCAGUUGGUUGAGCGUCUGACUUCAGCUCAGGUCAUGAUCUCACGGUUAGUGGGUUUGAGCCCUGCAUCAGGCU
This 85-nucleotide transfer RNA is filed under the name Felis catus (domestic cat). It matches the Rfam family "tRNA". From Rfam's summary of the family: Transfer RNA (tRNA) molecules are approximately 80 nucleotides in length. Lineage: Eukaryota; Metazoa; Chordata; Mammalia; Carnivora; Felidae. The record is from Rfam by way of RNAcentral.